UACGGAGGGGGCUAGCGUUGUUCGGAAUUAUUGGGCGUAAAGGGCGCGUAGGCGGUGCGGUAAGUCACCUGUGAAAUCUCCUGGCUCAACUGGGAGCUUGCAGGCGAAACUGCCGUGCUGGAGUGUGGGAGAGGUGCGUGGAAUUCCUGGUGUAGCGGUGAAAUGCGUAGAUAUCAGGAGGAACACCUGUGGCGAAAGCGGCGCACUGGACCACAACUGACGCUGAGGCGCGAAAGCUAGGGGAGCAAACAGG
This 253-nucleotide ribosomal RNA is filed under the name uncultured bacterium. Its description in RNAcentral is "partial 16S ribosomal RNA". It matches the Rfam family "Bacterial small subunit ribosomal RNA", at positions 524 to 776 of the family's 1533-position model. The record is from RNAcentral.